Molecule: unclassified non-coding RNA, 221 nt
Filed under: Hevea brasiliensis (rubber tree)
Lineage: Eukaryota; Viridiplantae; Streptophyta; Magnoliopsida; Malpighiales; Euphorbiaceae
Source: RNAcentral
GGGACCUUCUCACAUUAAGGGCGCUUAGUGCUUUUGAAAACAUUGAAUUUAUACCAAAAAGUUGGGGAUAUGAGAAGGGGAGAAGGAGAUGUACAAGUUAGCACAACUGAAGGAAAAGAGGGGUAAAGAUCCAAAAAUAGGUCAAGUGCAUUAACUAUAAUAAUCAAUAAGUUUUGUUAGGGAAAAAGUGAGAUCAAAGAGAGAUGGAGAUGCUACUUUGA